This is a long non-coding RNA of Pezoporus flaviventris, 597 nucleotides long. RefSeq lists it as uncharacterized. The transcript has 3 exons. NCBI's taxonomy places the organism in Eukaryota, Metazoa, Chordata, Aves, Psittaciformes, Psittacidae. The record is from RefSeq and is a predicted model, not a curated record.
UUGGCUUUGCCGUGACUGUUAUUUUUCGCGUUAGUACUGACAAACGGCACGCUCGAGAUGGGGGUGGGGGGACGUAGGGAGAAUAACCCUAAGUAGCACUUUCACAGCAGCAACAGCCUAAGGAUGGUGUGGUUCACAUCCCCCAAAGCAACGCGGGUUAGCCUCCUGCCCCCCGCUGGUCCCUCAGAUCUGUUUGUUGUUAUGAGAGAAAAUUGGAUGAAGACUCUGCAAGUCAGGAUUGUUUGUGUGCAAGUCACUGGGCUGCUCGCCCUUUGCAGUUCAUGGCCCAUGAUGUGCCCUCAGCCACCUCUGUCAUCUCCAGCUGAAUAACAGAAGCCUUCCAAUAGGUCCUUAAAGAGAGGUCAAGCCCUGAAAUGCUCACACCUGCGUUUGCAGUCAGGCACCUCAGUGCUCUGCUGAUCAGGAUGCGGUCAUUCUGUUUCCUGCUGCGAUAGAAGUGCUUGUGUAUUUCAGUGGUCACACACCACUGAUGGUUGCAGCAGUGAGGGAGUAUGUAAGGAAGACCUGAGAAUAUGUGUGUAUAAUUCCAUGGAGGUGAUGGAUACUUUAAAGAAAAAAAAAAAAAAAUCUAAGUUC